Molecule: unclassified non-coding RNA, 253 nt
Filed under: uncultured Flavobacteriaceae bacterium
Lineage: Bacteria; Pseudomonadati; Bacteroidota; Flavobacteriia; Flavobacteriales; Flavobacteriaceae
Description: contains 16S-23S intergenic spacer region
Rfam family: Bacterial small subunit ribosomal RNA
Source: RNAcentral
UACGGAGGAUCCAAGCGUUAUCCGGAAUCAUUGGGUUUAAAGGGUCCGUAGGCGGGAGAAUAAGUCAGUGGUGAAAGUCUGCAGCUCAACUGUAGAACUGCCAUUGAAACUGUUUUCCUUGAGUCAUUAUGAAGUGGUUAGAAUAUGUAGUGUAGCGGUGAAAUGCAUAGAUAUUACUCAGAAUACCGAUUGCGAAGGCAGAUCACUAAUAAAAUACUGACGCUGAUGGACGAAAGCGUGGGUAGCAAACAGG